Molecule: long non-coding RNA, 328 nt
Organism: Oncorhynchus tshawytscha (Chinook salmon)
Lineage: Eukaryota; Metazoa; Chordata; Actinopteri; Salmoniformes; Salmonidae
Source: Ensembl
GGAAUGGCCUUUCUAUUCUCCUUCUUCACUUUUGUUUUUCUGGAAUGAUGGAGAAGAGUGGUAGCUGGCUGUGAUAGGGCCAGAGAGAUCAGGGAGCAGGGGGCUGACUGUGAUAGAGCCAGAGAUCAGGGAGCAGGGAGCUGGCUGUGAUAGGGCCAGAGAGAUCAGGGAGCAGGGGGCUGACUGUGAUAGGGCCAGAGAGAUCAGGGAGCUGGCUGUGAUAGGGCCAGAGAGAUCAGGGAGCAGGGGGCUGGACAUCUCCAAUGUCCAGAGAAAUCUACCUUUAUUGAUUUGAUAUUGAUAUUGAUUUUCCACAUAAAGAUUCUGA